CAGAAAACCAACAUGGAGACAAUGGCUUUGAAUGACACACUGGACCACAUGAACUUGACGGAUAUUCAGAACAUUUCAUCCUAAAGCAGCAGAUUACACGUUACUUUUGAGUGCACAUGGCACUUUCUCCAGAAUAAACCACAUACUAGGUCACAAAUCAGGCUUCAACAAGUA
Long non-coding RNA from Herpailurus yagouaroundi (jaguarundi), 174 nucleotides. RefSeq lists it as uncharacterized. The record is from RefSeq and is a predicted model, not a curated record. Lineage: Eukaryota; Metazoa; Chordata; Mammalia; Carnivora; Felidae. The transcript has 2 exons.